AAUUGGAAAUACUGAUUCCUGCUUUCAGGAGUGAUGCAACAUAUUGGAAAUAAUUUCACUGCUUUUAGAAUGAUCCUGAAAACUUGGAAAUGGACCAGAAUGACGGCUAUUAUCAUGGUUUUUCACUUCCAAGAAAUAUUAGUGAUACAACCCAUCUUUAGUUUUCAAUUUUUUUUUGUAUUCGAGGUACAAAAAUGAGAAAAGAAGUCCAGAUUUCUAACCAGUUUUAUCAGCAGAUGCAAUAAACUUGGGGGGAGAUGUACUUCUCAAAUUAUCUCUGUUAGAGCUUUCAUCUUUAUCAUGAACUCAGAAUUCGGAAGCCCGUGCGUGUCCAUGCUGGUAAUCGCCACCACAACAAAGUUUGCUUAAGUCGUUUUAGACGAAUAGCUGCACAGAGCCACCGAAUAAAAGACCUUCGUGGCCUUGAUGUACUCUUUGUUCUGCUGCAGAAACUAAUUAAAUAGAUAAACUCACUAAUGGUGCUCACGGUGAAAAAAACACAUCACGUCGUUUCUGC
RNAcentral lists this long non-coding RNA (517 nucleotides) under Bos taurus (domestic cattle). Its description in RNAcentral is "long non-coding RNA NONBTAT025999". The record is from RNAcentral. Lineage: Eukaryota; Metazoa; Chordata; Mammalia; Artiodactyla; Bovidae.